RNAcentral lists this ribosomal RNA (433 nucleotides) under uncultured bacterium. RNAcentral describes it as "partial 16S ribosomal RNA". It matches the Rfam family "Bacterial small subunit ribosomal RNA", at positions 29 to 507 of the family's 1533-position model. The record is from RNAcentral.
AACGAACGCUGGCGGCAUGCCUAACACAUGCAAGUCGAACGAAGCCUUCGGGCUUAGUGGCGCACGGGUGCGUAACGCGUGGGAAUCCGCCCCUUGCUUCGGAAUAACAGUUAGAAAUGACUGCUAAUACCGGAUGAAGUCUUCGGACCAAAGAUUUAUCGGCAAGGGAUGAGCCCGCGUAGGAUUAGGUAGUUGGUGGGGUAAAGGCCUACCAAGCCGACGAUCCUUAGCUGGUCUGAGAGGAUGAUCAGCCACACUGGGACUGAGACACGGCCCAGACUCCUACGGGAGGCAGCAGUGGGGAAUAUUGGACAAUGGACGCAAGUCUGAUCCAGCAAUGCCGCGUGAGUGAUGAAGGCCUUAGGGUUGUAAAGCUCUUUUACCAGGGAUGAUAAUGACAGUACCUGGAGAAUAAGCUCCGGCUAACUCCGUG